AACGAACGCUGGCGGCAGGCCUAACACAUGCAAGUCGAGCGCGCCCUUCGGGGUGAGCGGCGGACGGGUUAGUAACGCGUGGGAAUAUGCCCAGAUCUGCGGAAUAGCCUCUGGAAACGGAGAGUAAUACCGCAUACGCCCUUCGGGGGAAAGAUUUAUCGGAUUUGGAUUAGCCCGCGUUGGAUUAGGUAGUUGGUGGGGUAAUGGCCUACCAAGCCGACGAUCCAUAGCUGGCUUGAGAGGAUGAUCAGCAACACUGGGACUGAGACACGGCCCAGACUCCUACGGGAGGCAGCAGUGGGGAAUCUUAGACAAUGGGGGAAACCCUGAUCUAGCCAUGCCGCGUGAGUGACGAAGGCCCUAGGGUCGUAAAGCUCUUUCAGCUGUGAAGAUAAUGACGGUAGCAGCAGAAGCAACCCCGGCUAACUCCGUG
Molecule: ribosomal RNA, 433 nt
Filed under: uncultured bacterium
Lineage: Bacteria
Description: bacterial SSU rRNA
Rfam family: Bacterial small subunit ribosomal RNA
Source: RNAcentral